AUAUCACAACUAUCCAUUUGCCCGUUGAAAUAGUUAACCAGUACAUUCAAAACAAGAUUGGCCAAACAAUUAAGAAACUACAAGAAUCAAGGCAAAAUGGUACAUCACUGAAUUUCAAAUAUAACCUAAAUGGCGGAUACAUUAGGAGCCAUCCUAAAAUAAUCACCCCGCAUCGUGUCAUCUGACUUGAACUUGGAAACUUGCUUGUCGCUUUAGGAGAGAAAAAAAUAAUGUAGCUGGUAAGAGCCCUCCAGGAAAGAUAAAAAAAAUGAUUACUGCUGACCAUUAUCAAUAUGCUCUCUAAAUUAGACAAAAAACAACAUAGAAAGGCACAUGCUUGUGAGCAACAAUGUAGGCAUUCAAGCAGGGAUGGAUUUAUUUUUUUUGCUUCAUCCGGUAAAAAGCUUCUUUGUGGUCCAAUUUGAGAACGGAAACAAGAGUAUGUGGCGGCUCUGCCUGCUACUUUACAUAGUAUACACCAAAUAAUCAAAAUGGUAAAUUAGUUUCCAUGCAUACAGGAUAGUGCGAGUAAGAGUGAAAACUAAAGUGCACUUCUAAUGUUACCUGCUUAAUGCCCUACGUGGAGGAUACUUCACCUGGUUCCCAAAAAUGGAAAAUCAAAGUAAAGAGUAAGUAGGCCUUUUCCUGCUACUUGAUCAACGGAAUAUAAAUAAGAAUGUUGUCGCCUUGGUACGGUUUAGAGAGAAGCAUGUUUCGGUUUGGUUUCCUGCAGAUAAAACUCAUAAACUAUUCUGCAUUCCAUGAAUAGAAAGAUUAAUAUUGUAGUCCUGAAAUACAGUGUCGCAAUUGAGCAACACAACUGCGAUUAAACGGCUAAGUUCUCCACCUUUGCACCAUUGCCAGAAUUUAUACUCUAAUCACCAAACAAAAUGGAAAACAAGGUUAAGAGUGAUUAUGAUACAAAGAUGAGGAGCUCGUGUUCUUCUUGUUACAGAAACAUGUUGGGGAACAACAGCACGGGAAUGCAAGCCAUAACAAAGCCUUGAAUAUUCGUUUAGAAAUAUCUGUUUGAUGCAAAAACUGACCGAUCAUCACAACUGCCGAUUACUGCUACAAAUAUAAUGAACAUGCACGAAGAAAAUCAACAGCUCGGUUAUACAUUUAUCUUAUUAUGUCUGAUCAUGACUGAUCAUUUACUGCUAGGAACAUAACAUCACACAAAAGUUUCUAUUUUGCUAUCAACAUCACAGGAUCCUUACCUGAUACGCGUGGCGCCGACGUCCGCCGCUUCCCCCCAUUCCUCGCCUCCCGGAGCGCUGCCGCCGUCGUCCUCCGUCGUGUCCCAAUCGGAUCGGGAGCGCCGCCGCUCGAU
This 1333-nucleotide long non-coding RNA is filed under the name Hordeum vulgare. RNAcentral describes it as "long non-coding RNA (HVUL_LNC009466)". The record is from RNAcentral. Lineage: Eukaryota; Viridiplantae; Streptophyta; Magnoliopsida; Poales; Poaceae.